RNAcentral lists this ribosomal RNA (307 nucleotides) under uncultured bacterium. Its description in RNAcentral is "partial 16S ribosomal RNA". It matches the Rfam family "Bacterial small subunit ribosomal RNA", at positions 506 to 807 of the family's 1533-position model. The record is from RNAcentral.
AGACAGCAGUAGCCGCGGGAACACGUAGGGUGCAAGCGUUAAUCGGAAUUACUGGGCGUAAAGCGUGCGCAGGCGGUUAUAUAAGACAGAUGUGAAAUCCCCGGGCUCAACCUGGGAACUGCAUUUGUGACUGUAUAGCUAGAGUACGGCAGAGGGGGAUGGAAUUCCGCGUGUAGCAGUGAAAUGCGUAGAUAUGCGGAGGAACACCGAUGGCGAAGGCAAUCCCCUGGGCCUGUACUGACGCUCAUGCACGAAAGCGUGGGGAGCAAACAGGAUUAGAUACCCGCGUAGUCCCUGUCUCUUAUAC